CUGCUCGGGGGUCCGCCUACCAGACAGAGAGGCAGAGCGAGAGAGAGAGACCGAGAGAGAUAAAGAGACAGAGAGAGAGACAGAGAGAGAGAGAGAAGCUCUUACGCGCAGAGCGUCACCGUCGAUCUGACCGAAUCAGUUGCCCUUGACAACGAGCAGUAAGAUAGGAAGGAAGAAAGGAAGGAUGGGAGGUGAAGGAGAGCCGAGGUCCACAACCAGCAAGGACUAAAUGAAGGCAGUGGUGUGAGACAAAGACACACGGAGCUGACACUGAUGACGGUCACUGUCUGAGUCAAGACAUCCUUUAAAAGGAGCUGAUAACAACGCAACCGUCCGUGUAAGAAUCCAAAACACCCACGGUGAGGUCUUCACUUGAAAUAUGAGUUCAACGUUCCAUUUUCAGAUGUUUAGUUCAUUGUAUUAAAGAA
Cynoglossus semilaevis (tongue sole) is the source of this 428-nucleotide long non-coding RNA. RefSeq lists it as uncharacterized. Lineage: Eukaryota; Metazoa; Chordata; Actinopteri; Pleuronectiformes; Cynoglossidae. The transcript is spliced from 2 exons. The record is from RefSeq and is a predicted model, not a curated record.